Molecule: long non-coding RNA, 343 nt
Organism: Ictalurus punctatus (channel catfish)
Lineage: Eukaryota; Metazoa; Chordata; Actinopteri; Siluriformes; Ictaluridae
Source: Ensembl
AUAGACACAGGAUACAAGAUGGCGAGCCAAACCCAUGGACAAAGUUUCUAGAAACAGCUCGGCUUCUUCGUGCCAGAGAGGAUCUGCUGUGUACAAAGGGACGCUGUUAAACUCACUGCCAGAGCGAUCAUGUUUAUUUUUUUAGGUACUGCACUUCAGAAAUCACUGGGCCAAAGUUCUGAAUCUCAACUCUUACCAACUUUAUUUAUGCUUUUCAGACUCACAGAAGCCGGGCUUCAUGGCUGCUUUCUUCUGGCUGGAUCUGGAUACAGAAGAAGUGUGUGGUUCCUCCUUCUCUAUCUCAUCAACACCUUGCUUUCUCUUGUUUCGACCCUUCUUUUCC